Molecule: ribosomal RNA, 468 nt
Filed under: uncultured bacterium
Lineage: Bacteria
Description: partial 16S ribosomal RNA
Rfam family: Bacterial small subunit ribosomal RNA
Source: RNAcentral
GACGAACGCUGGCGGCGUGCUUAACACAUGCAAGUAGAACGGAAAGGCCCUGGUUUGGUGGGGUGCUCGAGUGGCGAACGGGUGAGUAACACGUGAGUAACCUGCCCUUGACUUUGGGAUAACUUCAGGAAACUGGGGCUAAUACCGGAUAGGAGCUCCUGCUGCAUGGUGGGGGUUGGAAAGUUUCGGCGGUUGGGGAUGGACUCGCGGCUUAUCAGCUUGUUGGUGGGGUAGUGGCUUACCAAGGCUUUGACGGGUAGCCGGCCUGAGAGGGUGACCGGCCACAUUGGGACUGAGAUACGGCCCAUACUCCUACGGGAGGCAGCAGUGGGGAAUAUUGCACAAUGGGCGGAAGCCUUAUGCAGCAACUCCGCGUGCGGGAUGACUGCCUUCGGGUUGUAAACCGCUUGCGCCUGUGACGAAGCGUGAGUGACGGUAAUGUGUAAAGAAGCACCGGCUAACUACGUG